CCCCCUGCAAUUUGUCUCAUGAGACUGUCCAUACUAGCUGCAGGCACCCAAGCUCUGUAUGCGAAUUUGUCUGCAAUAGCCUGAUUCUCAUAGAUUAACUUUGCCAGGCUUGUCUUGCCAGUGCCUUCCAUGCCCACAAUUGAAAUAGUCAGGCAAUUUGGAUCAUCUCUAAGCAACAUCUCCACAAUAUCAUCUAUAUCUCCAUCAAAGAUAGAAAUAUCAGGUUUUUCUUCAACCUUGCAAGGAAGAGGAUGUGGUGGUAUUCUCAUUGGUAGCCUUUCAAAACGUUCAAUUGGUCGUUGAAUGGCAUUG
RNAcentral lists this unclassified non-coding RNA (312 nucleotides) under Hevea brasiliensis (rubber tree). The record is from RNAcentral. Lineage: Eukaryota; Viridiplantae; Streptophyta; Magnoliopsida; Malpighiales; Euphorbiaceae.